UACGGGGGGGGCAAGCGUUGUUCGGAAUUACUGGGCGUAAAGGGCCAGUAGGCGGCCAACUAAGUCACACGUGAAAUCCCCAGGCUUAACCUGGGAACUGCGUGUGAUACUGGAUGGCUUGAAUUCGGGAGAGGGAUGCAGAAUUCCAGGUGUAGCGGUGAAAUGCGUAGAUAUCUGGAGGAAUACCGGUGGCGAAGGCGGCAUCCUGGACCGACAUUGACGCUGAGGAGCGAAAGCUAGGGGAGCAAACGGG
Molecule: ribosomal RNA, 253 nt
Filed under: uncultured bacterium
Lineage: Bacteria
Description: partial 16S ribosomal RNA
Rfam family: Bacterial small subunit ribosomal RNA
Source: RNAcentral